AGCUACGGCCAUACCACCCUGAACGCCCCCCAUCUCGUCUGAUCUCAGAAGCUAAGCAGGGUCAGGCCUGGUUAGUACUUGGAUGGGAGAAUUAUCUUUUCUAUCCU
This 107-nucleotide ribosomal RNA is filed under the name Camelus bactrianus (Bactrian camel). The record is from RNAcentral. RNAcentral also lists the same sequence under 1 other name. Lineage: Eukaryota; Metazoa; Chordata; Mammalia; Artiodactyla; Camelidae.